CACUCCUACGGGAGGCAGCAGUGGGGAAUAUUGCACAAUGGGCGCAAGCCUGAUGCAGCCAUGCCGCGUGUAUGAAGAAGGCCUUCGGGUUGUAAAGUACUUUCAGCGGGGAGGAAGGCAAUACGGUUAAUAACCGUGUUGAUUGACGUUACCCGCAGAAGAAGCACCGGCUAACUCCGUGCCAGCAGCCGCGGUAAUACGGAGGGUGCAAGCGUUAAUCGGAAUUACUGGGCGUAAAGCGCACGCAGGCGGUCUGUCAAGUCGGAUGUGAAAUCCCCGGGCUCAACCUGGGAACUGCAUUCGAAACUGGCAGGCUUGAGUCUUGUAGAGGGGGGUAGAAUUCCAGGUGUAGCGGUGAAAUGCGUAGAGAUCUGGAGGAAUACCGGUGGCGAAGGCGGCCCCCUGGACAAAGACUGACGCUCAGGUGCGAAAGCGUGGGGAGCAAACAGGAUUAGAUACCCUAGUAGUCCCA
This 472-nucleotide ribosomal RNA is filed under the name uncultured organism. Its description in RNAcentral is "partial 16S ribosomal RNA". It matches the Rfam family "Bacterial small subunit ribosomal RNA", at positions 334 to 797 of the family's 1533-position model. The record is from RNAcentral.